Transfer RNA from Puccinia sorghi, 120 nucleotides. It matches the Rfam family "tRNA". From Rfam's summary of the family: Transfer RNA (tRNA) molecules are approximately 80 nucleotides in length. The record is from Rfam. NCBI's taxonomy places the organism in Eukaryota, Fungi, Basidiomycota, Pucciniomycetes, Pucciniales, Pucciniaceae.
GUCUCCAUAGCUCAGUGGUUUAGAGCGGCCGCCUGCAGUUUAUACACCCAAUGUCUGGGUAGUGCAUGAGACAUUGCGUAGCACAGCGGCAGGUCACGUGUUCAAAUCACGUUGGGGACU